AUGGACUCCGCCGAUUGGGGCCUCGAGGCGGUCGUGAGGAGCUGCGGCGGCUCGACCGUACUUCCCGCCUCGGAAGCAGAACCAGAGCCUACAGCCGCGCGGGCUGGCCGGGGAGUCGUCGCCCGUGUGGCAUCCUCCGGGGAGUUCGUCGGGCAACGGAUGAAGGCGGCUUCCUCGUCCUCGUCGUCGUUGUACGACGUCAUGGAGCGGCCUCGGGCGCCAUUUUCCAUCACGCCGUCGUCGACGUCCCGCGAGCGCAACGUGCCCAUCUCCUUCUCGACGUCCGGGCAGACGCUGCCGGGAAGGAAGCAGACUGGCCGGAAACCGGGCGUUGGCACUCCCACCCACAGGCGGCGGAAAACAAGCAAGAAGAAGGUGGUGCGGUUGGUGCCGGUGGCCCACGGCGGCGUCGCCAACAGCACCGCCGACGACCUGUGGGCGUGGCGCAAGUACGGCCAGAAACCUAUCAAGGCCUCCCCGUUUCCUCGAGCCUACUACAAGUGCAGCAGCCUCAGGGCGUGCACGGCGCGGAAGCUGGUGGAUCGCAGCCCGGCCAAGCCCGAGGUGCUCAUCGUCACGUACAUCGACGACCAUUGCCACGCUGUGCCCGUGCCGAUCACCACGCUCGCGCACCACCCACCCAAGUCACCGCGGGGCACGACGACGGCAGGCGAGGCGGUCUCAGUAUCGUCUUGCAUCGCUGCGGAGUUGGCGGACGACAAGUCCAAGCUCCGGGCACCCGUGGGGCUGGACGAUUUCUUCGGCUCUUUCGACGACACCGUGUUCUCGAGGACGUGGGCGACGACGUUUGUGGACGACGGGUUUCUUCCCUCUAGUUUGUGA
RNAcentral lists this ribosomal RNA (843 nucleotides) under Triticum aestivum (bread wheat). RNAcentral describes it as "partial small subunit ribosomal RNA". The record is from RNAcentral. Lineage: Eukaryota; Viridiplantae; Streptophyta; Magnoliopsida; Poales; Poaceae.